RNAcentral lists this ribosomal RNA (464 nucleotides) under Vreelandella stevensii. RNAcentral describes it as "partial 16S ribosomal RNA". It matches the Rfam family "Bacterial small subunit ribosomal RNA", at positions 338 to 795 of the family's 1533-position model. Lineage: Bacteria; Pseudomonadati; Pseudomonadota; Gammaproteobacteria; Oceanospirillales; Halomonadaceae. The record is from RNAcentral.
CCUACGGGUGGCAGCAGUGGGGAAUAUUGGACAAUGGGCGAAAGCCUGAUCCAGCCAUGCCGCGUGUGUGAAGAAGGCCUUCGGGUUGUAAAGCACUUUCAGUGGGGAAGAAAGCCUUGGGGCUAAUACCCUCGAGGAAGGACAUCACCCACAGAAGAAGCACCGGCUAACUCCGUGCCAGCAGCCGCGGUAAUACGGAGGGUGCGAGCGUUAAUCGGAAUUACUGGGCGUAAAGCGCGCGUAGGCGGUCUGAUAAGCCGGUUGUGAAAGCCCCGGGCUCAACCUGGGAACGGCAUCCGGAACUGUCAGGCUAGAGUGCAGGAGAGGAAGGUAGAAUUCCCGGUGUAGCGGUGAAAUGCGUAGAGAUCGGGAGGAAUACCAGUGGCGAGGGCGGCCUUCUGGACUGACACUGACGCUGAGGUGCGAAAGCGUGGGUAGCAAACAGGAUUAGAUACCCCAGUGUC